ACGUAGGUCACAAGCGUUGUCCGGAAUUACUGGGUGUAAAGGGAGCGCAGGCGGGAAGACAAGUUGGAAGUGAAAUCUAUGGGCUCAACCCAUAAACUGCUUUCAAAACUGUUUUUCUUGAGUAGUGCAGAGGUAGGCGGAAUUCCCGGUGUAGCGGUGGAAUGCGUAGAUAUCGGGAGGAACACCAGUGGCGAAGGCGGCCUACUGGGCACCAACUGACGCUGAGGCUCGAAAGUGUGGGUAGCAAACAG
Molecule: ribosomal RNA, 251 nt
Filed under: uncultured bacterium
Lineage: Bacteria
Description: partial 16S ribosomal RNA
Rfam family: Bacterial small subunit ribosomal RNA
Source: RNAcentral